UGAGGCUGCACUUCCUGCAAGGCCCCUGCAGCAGCAGCGCCUUGGUCAGAGCGAGCUUCGGAGAAGCGGUGGUGGGUUCCAUGUGAUAGUGGAGUAGGAGGCAGCUCUCCGCGGUUCAUCUGUGUUGCUCUAAAUGACACUUUCAUUAUUUUGAUGGCUGAAGAAUAUUUCCUAGUGUAUGUAUAUGAGAAUUUCUUGAUCUCUUUAUCUGUGGAUGAACAGGUAGGUUGAGUUUAUACCUAGUAAUGGGACUGCUAGAUGAUAUGGUAUUUGUUUUUUUCCUAUUCUUUGCAAGACCUCUAACUGUUUUUAUAGUGUUAAUACUAAUUUAUGUUUCCACAAAUAGUUCCCCUUUCUGGAAAUUCAUACCAGGAAUUGUCUUUUUAAAUAUUUUGAUCUUUUUGUAAUGUUCAUUCUAUUGGAGUGAGAUAAGAUCUGAGUGUGGUUUUGAUCUGCAUUUUUCUCAUGAGUAGUAAUGUUAACCACGUUUUUGUAGACAUUGUGUCAGUUUCCUGUCUUCUUUGGAAAAUUAUCUAAUCCAGUUAUUUGCCCAGAUUUUAUCUGGCAAUUGUUCUGUUGUUUUGUUUUUUUUUUGCCAGCUGGUAGUGUGACUGGCUUGUACCUUUUCAAAAAUAAUCCCUUAUCCCAAACUUGUAAUUUUUAGUGUGCCUUUUUAUUUUGUUUAUUGUUUCCUUUGUUGGGCACAAAUGCUUCAGCUUGACGUGGUCCCACAUGUGUGUAAUUUCUUGGUGGCUGUGCUGUUGGUUACUAAUCAAGAAAAAACAAAAUCACUACCAAAGCAGUUCAUUGUCAAUAAUGUUUUUCCCUUGUAUUUUUGUUUACUUUUUGCGAACCCUGAGCAUACAUCCAAGUUGUCCUAAAUAUAUGCACACCCAAGGUUGUCUUUAUAGGAGCUUUAUGGUUGCAAGUUUUGUGUAUAAUCUUUUAUCAUUUUGAGUUGAUUAUUGUGUACCUAGUACCAUAGGAGUCCUGUAUUAUUCUUUUGCAUAUGGAUAUCUAGUUUUGGAAAUCUUCCCCGUUGUGUCAUUUUGGUGGUGUUUUGAAAAAUGUGUUCAUUCCAUAUAAAUUUUUGUUUAUUAUUGAGCACAUUCAUUUUGCUCACUGGUCUGUGUUUCUCUGUGUAUGUCAGUAACAUAUGGGUUUGUUUACUAUGGAUUUUCAUUUAAUUAGAACUCAGGGAAUGUGAUGCAUCCCAUAUGGUUUGUAUUUUUCAGAAUAGCUUUGGAAAUUCAGGGUGUUUCACAUUUCCACAUAAAUUUUGGCAUUGUUUCUUUAUAUUUCUUAAAACACUAUUUGUCAUAUGCUAAAUGUAUACAAUUAGAAGGUACAAGGAAGAUUUUGAUACAUGUAUAUGUUGAGUAAUGAUAAAAUCAGAUUAUUUAGCAUCUCUUCCUCUCAUAUGGUUAUUAUUUUUGAGUGGUAACAACAUUUAGAAUCUUUACUUCUAACUACUUUGAAACAUAUGAUACAUUUGUGUUAAGGCUACCUGCUGUGGAGUAGAAGACCAGAAUUGGUCUCUCUCAUCUGAGAGUAACUUUGUACCCCAUCACUGAUUCCUUCUGAGACCACCUCCACUUCCCCAGCAGCCUCUGCUUUCUUCAUGUGGCUGCAGAUGGCAGGAUUUCCCAAAGGCUUAUGGCUGAAACAUAUUCCGUGGUGUAUCUGUACAGCAGUUUCCUCAUCCCUGCAGCUGUGUUUGAACAGGUCAUUUACCAUGCUGUCCUCCAGGUUCAACAGUAUGGCUCCAAAUGAUGAAAUUUCACUUGAUUUUCUGGCUGAAGACUAUUCUGUUUGUGUACGUCCCCCACAGUUACUUUAUCCCUUCAUCUGUGGAUGGGCAGGAAACUCCAAACUGUUCAAGGAGAUAGUUCUGUUGUGAUUACUUCAUUGAGAAAUUUAACUUAUGAGCAGUUGAAAGGAAUGCAAGUUGCUGGAAAAUCAGAAUGAAGAGUGCAAAAUGACCAAGCUACAAUGUAUUGUCAUUAUUCACUCUGAUGUGAAAAAGGCAGUGAAUUUAAUAGAAAAUAACUUUGCAGAGUAAAAUCUCAGGUGUGUUUUUUUAGUGCCACAGCCUUGGAUGAUGUGUUCCUAGAAGCUGUCAACAUCUCUUCUUAAUUGGGGAAAGUGUUAAGCCCCAAAGUAGCUGGAGCAGUACAUCUUCAAUUUUUGACAAGAAAGCAGGCACUUGAUCACUUUGAGUGCUAUUCAUUAGUUUCUGCUUUCAUUGAGAAUGCAACAAAAGCCAACUAGGCUGCUGCUAACUCCUUGCUGGACAUCUUCUGCCACUGUCACAGGAACUGUGAUCUCACUGGACAAUUAACUAGGGAGCCUUUAAUCUUGAAUGACAGCUGCACAAAUGAUCUUCAAAGCAUUUUAGCCACCAGAGGAAUUCUCUUCAAAUACCCAAAAUCCAUCAGUAUCUUGAAUCAUGCUGGAUUUUGAAUAAUUCUUAACAAGCUAUGUAAAGGGGGCUCUCUGGCCUUGAAAUAGUGAUGUUUUUUAUACAGAAAGGAGAAUGCAGAAUGGUCAGACUACCAUGCACUGUUAAAUUUGAUUUCAAGAAAUUACAGGAAAACUUUCCAAAUUUCCAUCUCACAGAAUUUUUUUUUACAAAGAAUUCCAAGAUAAGUUUAGUUUUAUGGAAAAUUUUUAUGUGGUUUUUACUCACUCUUCAUCUCAGACAUCAACAGAUGAUUACAUCACUUAUUUAGCUAGUAAAUUUAUUAAUAUAAAACUCAGAGACAUUCCAAUAUCCACAUUGCUUACACCAUUAGGCAUAGAUUCAAUGUCAGCUAUGACAAUUGAAAAUAAGCUGUUUUGUGAUUUAAAGGUUUAAAUUUCUCUAACCAAACUACUUGAUCCAGAUGCAGCACUGCAAAUGUUAAUAUCUGUUCUGGAAGAACAAUCAAAUAAGACUUAAGAGGAAAAGGAAUGGCCACAAUCCACCUGAAAUUUUUUUAAAAAAAUAUGCAGCCUACUAAAUCAGAAUGAAAACAGAAGUACAAGAUUAUAAACAAAAUGCAACCAAACUUUUCUUAAGCUUACCUAAAGUUAUUUUAUCUGAAAAUUUCAAGCAGCUUUGUUCAACACUAAAUUGACAAUCUAAACUAACAUGUCUUUUGAAUUUAUGUAUGGUAGUAAACGUUCUCUCUAUUAACUUUAUUACCUAAGGCUAAACCUAAAAUUUUUAAGCAAAAUUAGAAAAAUAGUCUUCACUUGUCAAAAAAUAAAGUUUGUUACAUUUAGUAUUUUCCCAAUAAAAUUGGUCAUUCUUGGUUUUUUAUUUGGAGAAUCUGUGCAAAAUUUCACUAAAAAUAAAUUAGCACUAGAAAUUAUUUCUAAAUACCAAAAAAAAAAAUGAAGAAUGGUUUCACAAAGAAAAAAGGAAAACUUGCUUAAUUAGCAGAGUGUCAUCUCUGUGAUUUUGUGAUUAUUUGAUCAGUGUCCUGAGAUGGAUACGAUGGCAAGUAAUGACAAAAUUAAAAUAAGCAUGCAGAUUUUUUUAAAUUAAGUGCCAAAAAAUAAUGGGUCGUGCAAAGCCCUUAAAAACAUUGUGGCCUAAUUCUAAAGAUUUUUGCUACUAUGCUACAUCACACCCAACAUCAGUUAAGUGCUCAUUCUGUGACAGGUAGUACAUUACAUUUUAGCAAACUACACAAGACCCCUAUGUGAUAAUAUGCUUCAGGGUUGUAAAGUUGGGUGCAUUUACUAGUCUUGAAUUUUCUGGGAGUAUACAAACCCAACAUUAGUCUAGAUGCCCAAAAAUCUAUUUAGACAUCACAGUAGAAUGGAGAGUAAUCUUGACCACAGGAGGCUGUGUUGUGGCAUUUAUUUUGAAAUUAUUUUUUCUUGAUUUUUUUGCCUUUUAAUUGUUUUGUGAGUUUUAUAAUGUACAGAAUAUUUUUAAAUUAUUAUAUAUAUAAACUGAUUAGUCUUAAUUUUAAACUUGGGGUCUUGCCUCUGGGGUCUUACUUGGAUUUCUCCUAACAAUAUUAUACACAUAUUUGCAAUAAUUUCUCUCAUACUGCUUUUAACUCAUUUAAUUUUUCAGCCUUUUAAGAAUAACAAAAGUGAUAUUAAUUGUAAAAAUGCUGAAGUGACAUAUGAAUUUAUGCAGUGCAUAUGUAUUUUUUAUUUUACCAAUGAGAUGGGAGAAAUGUUGUCUUACAUUUUAACAUACAUUUUGGCCAUUACACAGAUGAAGCAACUUUUCAUUUGUUAAUACAUAAUGCAUACUUUUUCUUCUGUGCAAUUCCUCUUUAUAUUCUUUGCUCAUUUUCCCACCGGGAUUUGCAUGUUCUUUACUAUUUGAUAAUCUCUAUACAUUCUGAAUAUCCAUUUUUUGUUAUAUAUACCAUGUAAAUAUUUUCUUCUAAUUUGUUAUUUGUCUUUCAAUGGUAUUUAUCAAUUGUUUGCUAAAAAUGAGUUUGUUAGUAAAAUUUGUCUAUCUUUUACUUCAUGAUAUUUGUAUUUCAUGUCAUGAGGAAAAGGCAUGAAUAUUUUAAAAACUUCCUUGUAGUAUUAAUUUUAUUUUUUAUUUCAUUCUUUAUUUGAAAUUUAUUGUUUAUUUCUUCAAAUUCCAAAUAAUAAACAACUUUCUCAAAGCAAUGCUUCUUUCUAUUGAUUUCAAACAUUACAUUUGUCUUCUCUGAAGUUCUUGUCUAUUUGAUACCUGACUGUCACACUACUGCUGUGGAUGUGCUUCGUAGCAUCACAGUACUGCGGGGUUAUAAGAUUAUCUGAUAGCCAAUAGAAGCAGACCUCUACUCACUGUUGUUCUUUUUUCUUUUGGAGAAUAAAGUUAGCUAUUUUUAUCUGGGUUCUCAAUUUUUUUUUUUCUUUUUGAGAUGAAGCCUCGCUCUCUCACCCAGGCUAGAGUGCAGUGGCAUGAUCUUGGCUCACUGCAACCUCUUCCUCCCGGGUUCAAUUGAUUCUCCUGCCUCAGCCUCCUGAGUAGCCAGGAUUACAGGCAUCCAUUACCACGUCUGGCUAAUUUUUUUAUUUUUAGUAGAGACAGGGCUUCACCAUCUUGGCCAGGCUGGUCUUGAACUCCUGACCUCGUGUUGCACCCACCUCUGAUUCUCAAAGUCGUGGGAUGACAGGCGUGAGCCACCGCACCUA
This is a long non-coding RNA of Symphalangus syndactylus (siamang), 5142 nucleotides long. RefSeq lists it as uncharacterized. The record is from RefSeq and is a predicted model, not a curated record. Lineage: Eukaryota; Metazoa; Chordata; Mammalia; Primates; Hylobatidae.